GUAAUGGAGAGAAUGGAGUCUGGACCUAUGCUGGAGGCCAACAAACUGGCCAUGUGUCUGUCUGAGGAGAUGACUGACAUUACAGCGCUCAGCCUAGCCCUGUACAGCCCACCAAUACACUUCGAGCUGACUGGAGACGUCCAGGGGAAAUGGAGGCUUCAGUCUAACUAUGGUACAUCUGUGAGGCUGAUCAAAGAGAGCGCCGUACAGGCGGGCGAUCAUCAACUCACCCUGAAGAUCUCUGACAGCCAGGGCCAGCAUUCAGUCCAGACCCUCUCGCUGCUUGUGUGUGACUGUGAUGUUUCUGCAAACUGCAAAGACCCAGCAACAAAGAUGAACGUCACUGCCAUCGCUGUCGUAAUCCUCAACAUCCCGGUGCUGCUGGGUAUCCUGUUGAUGGCGUGGUGUCAGGUCAGAGCAAAGAAAUCUGCAAAGCACCAAAUGCUUUUAGUGGAG
Molecule: long non-coding RNA, 456 nt
Filed under: Sinocyclocheilus grahami
Lineage: Eukaryota; Metazoa; Chordata; Actinopteri; Cypriniformes; Cyprinidae
Description: lncRNA (ENSSGRG00000034270.1)
Source: RNAcentral